Molecule: ribosomal RNA, 1963 nt
Filed under: gut metagenome
Description: bacterial LSU rRNA
Rfam family: Bacterial large subunit ribosomal RNA
Source: RNAcentral
UUAAGCGAACAAGAGCACAGGGCGGAUGCCCUGGCAACAGGAGCCGAUGAAGGACGUGACAAGCUGCGAUAAGCUGCGGGAAGGCGCACAUAGCCGUAGAUCCGCAGAUUUCCGAAUGGGGAAACCCGCAUACAGUAAUGUGUAUGCACCCGCGCCUGAAUCAAAUAGGGCGUGAGGAGGAAACCCGGUGAACUGAAACAUCUAAGUAGCCGGAGGAAGAGAAAGAAAGAUCGAUUUCCUGAGUAGCGGCGAGCGAAAGGGAAAGAGCCCAAACCAUGCUACGGCAUGGGGUUGCGGACCAUCAAAGAGAAGGGAAAAGGAAGCCGAAGACAGUUGGAAAGCUGUACCGAAGAGGGUAACGGUCCCGUAGGCGAAUCUUUGAACCGGACAGAUGGCACCAGAGUAGCACCGGACACGUGAAACCCGGUGUGAAGCAGGGAGGACCGCCUCCCAAGGCUAAAUACUACCUGUUGACCGAUAGCGAACAGUACCGUGAGGGAAAGGUGAAAAGAACCCCGGGAGGGGAGUGAAAGAGAACCUGAAACCCUGUGCUUACAAUCGGAGGGAGCGAAAGUGACCUCGUACUUUUUGUAGAACGGGCCAACGAGUUGCGGUGUAUAGCAAGGUUAAGGAGUGAAGCUCCGGAGCCGAAGCGAAAGCGAGUCUGAAGAGGGCGAAAGUUGUAUGCUGCAGACCCGAAACCGGGUGACCUAUCCAUGUGCAGGUUGAAGCGGGAGUAAAAUUCCGUGGAGGACCGAACCCAUAUCUGUUGAAAAAGGUUGGGAUGACGUGUGGAUAGCGGUGAAAUUCCAAUCGAACCCGGAGAUAGCUGGUUCUCCUCGAAAUAGCUUUAGGGCUAGCCUCGGACAGGCGAUACGCGGAGGUAGAGCACUGAAUAUUCCAGGGGGCUUCACCGCCUACCGAAAAUUAUCAAACUCCGAAUGCCGCGCAAUCAGGUCCGGGAGUCAGACUAUGAGAGAUAAGUUCCAUGGUCGAAAGGGAAAGAGCCCAGAUCAACAGCUAAGGUCCCAAAGUUCAGGUUAAGUGGAAAAGGAUGUGGAGUUGCACAGACAACUAGGAUGUUGGCUUAGAAGCAGCCACUCAUUCAAAGAGUGCGUAACAGCUCACUAGUCGAGUGACUCUGCGCCGAAGAUAAACGGGGCUGAAACCUGACACCGAAGCUUUGGAAACAGAAAUGUUUGGUAGAGGAGCAUCGUAUACGGGCAGAAGCGGAACCGUAAGGAACCGUGGACUGUAUAGGAGAGAGAAUGUUGGCAUGAGUAGCGAGAGGCAGGUGAGAAUCCUGUCCGCCGAAAAUCUGAGGUUUCCUGAGGAAGGUUCGUCCGCUCAGGGUAAGUCGGGACCUAAGCCGAGAGCGAAAGCUGUAGGCGAUGGACAACAGGUUGAGAUUCCUGUACCGCCAAGGAUCAUUUGAGUGAAGCGGGGACGCAGGAGGCAAGGCUGAGCACGCCGUUGGUAGAGCGUGUCCAAAUCAGGAGUGUGUAAGGUUGGCAAAUCCGCCUUACGUGAAGCAUGACUGAUGAUGGGGAGGGAAAUCAAGUACUGAAGCAGCUGCCGUCACACUGCCAAGAAAAGCCGCUGGCGAGAUCUGAGGUGCCCGUACCGCAAACCGACACAGGUAGAUGAGGAGAGAAUCCUAAGGCGAGCGAGAGAACUAUUGUCAAGGAACUCGGCAAAAUGACCCCGUAACUUAGGGAGAAGGGGUGCCUGCGCGAGCAGGCCGCAGUGAAGAGGCCCAGGCGACUGUUUACCAAAAACACAGGUCUCUGCCAAAGCGAAAGCUGAAGUAUAGGGGCUGACGCCUGCCCGGUGCUGGAAGGUUAAGGGGAAGUGUCAGGGCAACCGAAGCACAGAACUUAAGCCCCAGUAAACGGCGGCCGUAACUAUAACGGUCCUAAGGUAGCGAAAUUCCUUGUCGGGUAAGUUCCGACCCGCACGAAAG